This 596-nucleotide ribosomal RNA is filed under the name uncultured bacterium. Its description in RNAcentral is "bacterial SSU rRNA". It matches the Rfam family "Bacterial small subunit ribosomal RNA", at positions 112 to 704 of the family's 1533-position model. The record is from RNAcentral.
AAUGCAUCGGAACGUGCCCAGUCGUGGGGGAUAACGCAGCGAAAGCUGCGCUAAUACCGCAUACGAUCUAUGGAUGAAAGCGGGGGACCGUAAGGCCUCGCGCGAUUGGAGCGGCCGAUGUCAGAUUAGGUAGUUGGUGGGGUAAAGGCUCACCAAGCCAACGAUCUGUAGCUGGUCUGAGAGGACGACCAGCCACACUGGGACUGAGACACGGCCCAGACUCCUACGGGAGGCAGCAGUGGGGAAUUUUGGACAAUGGGCGCAAGCCUGAUCCAGCAAUGCCGCGUGCAGGAAGAAGGCCUUCGGGUUGUAAACUGCUUUUGUACGGAACGAAAAGGCUCUGGUUAAUACCUGGGGCCCAUGACGGUACCGUAAGAAUAAGCACCGGCUAACUACGUGCCAGCAGCCGCGGUAAUACGUAGGGUGCAAGCGUUAAUCGGAAUUACUGGGCGUAAAGCGUGCGCAGGCGGUUUUGUAAGACAGGCGUGAAAUCCCCGGGCUUAACCUGGGAAUUGCGCUUGUGACUGUAAGGCUGGAGUGCGGCAGAGGGGGAUGGAAUUCCGCGUGUAGCAGUGAAAUGCGUAGAUAUGCGGAGG